CCCCAAUGGGCGCAAGCCUGAGGGAGCGACGCCGCGUGGGGGAUGAAGGUCUUCGGAUCGUAAACCCCUGUUGCCCGGGACGAAGUUCUGACGGUACCGGGUGAGGAAGCUCCGGCUAACUACGUGCCAGCAGCCGCGGUAAUACGUAGGGAGCGAGCGUUGCUCGGAAUUACUGGGCGUAAAAGGGUGUGUAGGUGGACAUGC
RNAcentral lists this ribosomal RNA (204 nucleotides) under uncultured microorganism. RNAcentral's name for it is "partial 16S ribosomal RNA". It matches the Rfam family "Bacterial small subunit ribosomal RNA", at positions 366 to 584 of the family's 1533-position model. The record is from RNAcentral.